GUUUGCACUUGUCGGGGAAGGGUGAGAACCUUCGAUUAAGGUUCGACUCGAGCGAAAGCGAGAGAACGUUGCCAACGGCAACGGCCCGUAGGGUGAGGAGCUUUAGCUCCGAAUAAUCCUUCCCGCUAUAGAA
This 133-nucleotide small RNA is filed under the name Salmonella enterica. Its description in RNAcentral is "RtT sRNA". It matches the Rfam family "RtT RNA". Rfam says of the family: This family represents a bacterial cis-regulatory element known as RtT RNA. Lineage: Bacteria; Pseudomonadati; Pseudomonadota; Gammaproteobacteria; Enterobacterales; Enterobacteriaceae. The record is from RNAcentral.